GGACUGAAGUAGGGGAGAGGCUUCCCUAAAAGAAUGGGCGUCAGGUUGACAGAAGGACAGUGAACAGAUGAAGGACAGUGAACAGAUGCUGGGCAGCGUACAUGGCUAUGUCCCAACAAUGCCUUUCCCAUUAAAAAGAUAUUUUUGAAGAUGGGCCAUAAAACAUGAAGGGACCAAUAAACCAGGCCAGUGGAAACAUUCCAGAGUUGAAAAUCCUCUGUGGAACAAGCUUACCUACAUGUGGCCAGUCCUUCCAAGUGGCCAACUUAAUGAGGAGUUUGACUGGCCAAUAGAAGGCCUGCUUGUUCCGAACAGUCCUCCCAUGAAGAAACCCAUCUAUAAGACACCAGAGCAAUAUGUUCCUGUGAGACUCAGAGUUUUGCGGAAUGGAGAUAAAAAUAAAAACAGAGCACUAAUUAUAAUUGGUCCAGACAUCUCACCUAGACGGAAAACACAAAAUGUUGACACUGAAAGGAAAGAGAAUGUGAAAAUCCAUGUCACUCAAUAUUCUGAAACAGGAACAAACCAGGCUGAAUUUCACCAACUUUUGGAGAGGUAAAUAUUUAAUAUUUUAAAUGCAAAGGUAUUUUCCAUUCAAAUGCUUGAAUGAUUACGUAUAAAGCAUCGCACACAUCAUGUCUAUGUACCUUCAUUAGAAAACAAUUGUUAAUACAAUGAUUCUGGAGUUUUUAAUCUGUGAAAUACAUAAACUAUGUGACAGUCUGUGAUACCAAUGCUAAUAAAUCUAUUUAUUUUUUUCAAAUGUCAGGGUCUAGCAAGUUCCUCUUACCAACUCUGUAAAUAUAAAUUAUUUACAUCUUUAUAUAUUUCAUAGUGUUAUACCAUUUUAUUUGGUUUAUAUUUG
This 865-nucleotide long non-coding RNA is filed under the name Dasypus novemcinctus (nine-banded armadillo). RNAcentral's name for it is "lncRNA (ENSDNOG00000049841.1)". Lineage: Eukaryota; Metazoa; Chordata; Mammalia; Cingulata; Dasypodidae. The record is from RNAcentral.